CAGGUAACGUGACAAGACCUUGGAUUUAUCAAUUUGAAAGCCAAAGCUGCCAGUUGAGUUCCUUCUCAAAAAGCGAGCAUCACGCUCAAUUCUCUCCAGAUGUGCAGGUAUGCCAACAACCAUCUCACCCAUUUUGAGCUAGAGUAUCACUGCAGAUAUAUCAUGAGAUACAGAGAGGUUUAGUAAAGAAUCUCACAUUGCUUGUUUCCUUUUAUGUUUUUCACAACUGUUAAAUUUCAACACUUACCUAGAAAAACUUAUCAGAAGAAGAGACCCUUUGAAACCUUGACCUCACAAAUGCAGCACCCUAGUGUAAAAAAACAAACAAACAAGGACCUGUGAGAAAAUUGAUACUAAUUAAAAAGCAUGUGGUGGCAUUCAUGGUUUUCCAUCAUGAUUAAACAUAAACCAUUUUGUUCCCGAUAAUUGAUAUCUAUGUUGGUCGGACUCUUUAAAAAUGUUAGACAUGUGCCUGUCGAAUCUUCCAAAGGUAGGACAGUUUUGAAAGAUCCGACAUGGGUUCAACGACAUUUUAGGGAGAGCCUGAGAAACAUAGGUUAAAUAUAAACCCCUACCGUUAUAAAAAUGAUUCGAAGGAUAUAUGCUAUUGUGCAUUUGUAGGACAACAAUUUUAAAGAACAAUGUAACAAGGAUGAAAAGAAAGUACCUAUUAUGCAGUUUGCACUUCUGCCUCCAUCUGAAUAUUCCUCAAAAUGCACUGUUAUUCUUAUUACCUAAAAAAUUAAUGCAUCCAAAUUAAUGAACUUUUAUUAAGAUAUAACUAACAAAUUGUAUAUGAUUAUAAAGACGUAAAGAUAUGGAACAUAUAUAUAUAUUUGACAAAAAAUUUUUAGUAACAUGAAUAAGUUGUGGCAUAUAAACGUAUGAAGCACCAAAAAAAGGAAAAUGUCAUUUCGUUUCAAUAGAUAAAACAAUCCAUAAUAUCCUUUGAUAAAAAAUUAAUAAAUAUGUUUACUUCCUAAAUCAUACAUUUCCAAUUAUCAUCUCCAUUAUUCUGCAACAAAUUCAGCAUAAAGGAAAGUGAAAAUCGUUAUUUAAAUUUAAAAGGUACAUUGAGUUCGUCCUGGAGCUGUAAAAUUAGAUUGUGUUAUUAAUUCAAAAAUUACGUCAAGAAGCAAAAACAAAACCUAAAUUCAGACAAAAGGAAUUGAACAUUUCAUUAACAUGGAUUAUUUUCAUCUUCAAUUUGAGAUCAAUCUUUGAGGAACACAAUCAAGAAUCAUUUAACACCAACAAAAAAGAAAAUUCUGGUGGAAAAUUAUACCUAUUUCUUGAUAAAUUGGGAAUGAAAAACCAAAGAGGGACUCUUAACAAUUAGUUGGUAAUUUUUUGAGGGAACAAAAUUUCUAAAAUUGCAAAGAAAGAAAACAAAAUGAUAGGAAAAAAGAAAAGAGAGAAAAAACAAUAAGAUAGAUAGAUAGAUAGAGGGGGAUUUUAAAAUUCAUAGACAAUUUUUUUUUAUAAGAAUA
Molecule: long non-coding RNA, 1490 nt
Filed under: Solanum lycopersicum (tomato)
Lineage: Eukaryota; Viridiplantae; Streptophyta; Magnoliopsida; Solanales; Solanaceae
Description: long non-coding RNA (SLYC_LNC001376)
Source: RNAcentral